Molecule: unclassified non-coding RNA, 322 nt
Filed under: soil metagenome
Description: partial contains 5.8S ribosomal RNA, internal transcribed spacer 2, and large subunit ribosomal RNA
Rfam family: 5.8S ribosomal RNA (bases 1-120)
Source: RNAcentral
GAUGAAGAACGUAGCGAAAUGCGAUAAGUAAUGCGAAUUGCAGAAUUCAGUGAGUCAUCGAAUCUUUGAACGCACAUUGCGCCCUGUGGUAUUCCGCAGGGCAUGCCUGUUCGAGCGUCAUUUCAACCCUCAAGCCUCGCUUGGUGUUGGGCCCUGCCCGCCGCGGCCGGCCCUAAAGAUAGUGGCGGCGCCGCCUGGCCCUCAGCGUAGUACAGCUCUCGCUCCAGGGUCCGGCGGCAGCCUGCCAGAACCCCCCAACUCUGUGGUUGACCUCGGAUCAGGUAGGGAUACCCGCUGAACUUAAGCAUAUCAAUAAGCAGGA